GGUUGCUUCAUGGUCAUUUAAUGCAUGGGGAUUGGACGUCGUCAGACCAAUCACACUAAAAUCAACUACAAGAGAAGCCUACAUCCUAACCACAACAGGUUACUUUUCCAAGUGGACUGAAGUCAUACCCCUAAGGGAAGUCAAGAAAGAAAUGUUGGAAAUGUUCCCUAAAGCCAGUCAUAUGAUAAUACUUUAUGGACAUUUCACAUAUUAAACUAAUCUAGUUUAUAAAUGUUAUACACUUAAAUGAUAAGUCCAAGGAAUAUGUAAUUGGGAGAAUGUGACCUAAAAAAGUUAGAUUCAUGAGACCAUUCUCUUUCAUAUACAUAUCUUAAACAUUCCUGAUCAUAGGAUUGCCAAUUGGGCAUUGAUAGUCCGUUAAGAUCAGUACGUGCUAUGUUUUCUCUUAAAGAGAAUGACUAGUCUCGAGUCAUUGCUGUGACUGACAUCAAGACAAGCAUAUAGGUGCUCAAUAGAGAAUAAGUCCACUGAACGCGAUCAACAAGGAGUUCUCAUACUCAUGUCACAAGAGAACUCAUGGUUAGGAUAAUGCAAAGUAUUCCUUUGACCUGAGGCAUCAUAGUUGUCUUAUGGUUAAGUCCUUGAUCUUUGACUAUGUCAAAGUCACUCCAUCAGAGGGUGUCCAUGACAUAGUUAGGGUUAAGUUAGCCAUGGAAGCAAGUGAAUGCACAACAAGGGAUCUCUAACCUUCAAACCGUUUGAGGGAGAAUUCUCUAUGAUAUGAUUAAGAAUAUAUGGCCAGAGUAUGAAUGAGAUUUAGGAAGUCAUUCCAAAUCAUGUUCAAGGUAAUCAUAUAAGUAAGAGAAUCACAGUGGAUAGUAGACAUGAAUAAACUAUCGAACCAAACGAUGUGGUCAAGAGUAUUGUAUUAGAGAAAGAUCGUAUUGCAUUGUAAUCCUAAAUUGAAUAGGUUCUCCAACUUUUCUGAUUAGCUUGGGUAGCCAUGACAUACUACUAGGUGUCACUCAUGGUUUAUGGAAACCUUAAUGUGUAUAAUCACUAAAGGGAGAAUUGAAAGUAAGUUUCAAUUCACAAUCAAUUUGAAGAGUUCUAAUCGUUGACUGCCUCGCUAAAAUGAACCUAAUGGAUCAUACACCAUGUAAGGUAGAGACUGAAGAAAGAACGGAGAUGAAUAAAGAUAAUUAAAUGGUUUAAUAAUUUAUGGCUAGGAUUAAUUAAUAUGGUAAAUCAAACGAAUAAGUUCGUUUUAGCUUUUAAGUAUUUAGUGGACCUCAAGGCCCAUUGGGCUAAGAACCAUCAAGCCCAUUAAUUUAA
This 1296-nucleotide long non-coding RNA is filed under the name Malus domestica (apple). Its description in RNAcentral is "long non-coding RNA (MDOM_LNC020329)". The record is from RNAcentral. Lineage: Eukaryota; Viridiplantae; Streptophyta; Magnoliopsida; Rosales; Rosaceae.